RNAcentral lists this transfer RNA (72 nucleotides) under Camelus bactrianus (Bactrian camel). It matches the Rfam family "tRNA". From Rfam's summary of the family: Transfer RNA (tRNA) molecules are approximately 80 nucleotides in length. Their secondary structure includes four short double-helical elements and three loops (D, anti-codon, and T loops). RNAcentral also lists the same sequence under 2 other names. The record is from Rfam by way of RNAcentral. Lineage: Eukaryota; Metazoa; Chordata; Mammalia; Artiodactyla; Camelidae.
GGGUAUAUAGGUCAUUGGUAGAGUGCAUGCCUAACAUACAUGAAGUCCUGGGUUCAAACCCCAGUACCUCUA